RNAcentral lists this ribosomal RNA (301 nucleotides) under uncultured bacterium. RNAcentral's name for it is "partial 16S ribosomal RNA". It matches the Rfam family "Bacterial small subunit ribosomal RNA", at positions 509 to 808 of the family's 1533-position model. The record is from RNAcentral.
CAGUAGCCGCGGUAAAACAGAGGAUGCAAGCGUUAUCCGGAAUGAUUGGGCGUAAAGCGAGCGCAGGCGGUUUGAUAAGUCUGAAGUUAAAGGCUGUGGCUUAACCAUAGUACGCUUUGGAAACUGUUUAACUUGAGUGCAGAAGGGGAGAGUGGAAUUCCAUGUGUAGCGGUGAAAUGCGUAGAUAUAUGGAGGAACACCGGUGGCGAAAGCGGCUCUCUGGUCUGUAACUGACGCUGAGGCUCGAAAGCGUGGGGAGCAAACAGGAUUAGAUACCCCGGUAGUCCCUGUCUCUUAUACA